Molecule: long non-coding RNA, 1509 nt
Filed under: Mytilus galloprovincialis (Mediterranean mussel)
Lineage: Eukaryota; Metazoa; Mollusca; Bivalvia; Mytilida; Mytilidae
Source: RNAcentral
UUCAAAUCCGAUAGUCCCUAAUCAAAUGACAUAAGCAAAACCUCAAAUACAUCAAACUAUCGGAUCACAACUGUCAUGUUCCUGACUUGUUGCAAAUGUUGGUGGAUUAAACCUUGUUUUGUAGCUAGCUAAAGCUCUCACUUGUAUGACAUUUGUUCAUGUUGCUAAGUCGUUAGUUUUCUCUGUUUUGUCGAAUGCUAUUGUAUGUCAGUUUGUCUUUUUAUGCCCCACCUACGUUAGUAGAGGGACCUUAUGUUUUCUGGUCUGUGGCUCCGUUCGUCCGUCCGUUAGUUCGUUCGUCCCGCUUCAGGUUAAAGUUUUUGGUCAAGGUAGUUUUUGAUGAAGCUGAAGUCCAAUCAACUUAAACUUAGUACACUUGUUGCUUAUGAUAUGAUCUUUCUAAUUUAAAGCCAAAUUAGACUUUUUUGUGGGAGUUUCAGGUUAAAUUUUUUGGUCAAGGUAGUUUUUGCUGAAGCUGAAGUCCUAUCAACUUGAAACUUAGUACACAUGUUCCCUAUAGUAUAAUCUUUCUAAUUAUGCCAAAUUAGAUUUUUACCCUAUUUCACGGUCCAUGGAACAUGGAAAAUGAUUGAGUGGGGCAUCCGUGUACUUUGGACACAUUCUUGUUCUUUUUUAGCAAUGGUAUUGUCAGUUUAUUUUCGAUCUUUGAAAUUAAAUGUCUCUCUGAUAUCUUUCGCCUAUCUUGAAUAAAAUUCAUUAUAUUGACAAAAAUGUAUGAACCUUCAAACAGAAAUAAUAGGCAAAAAAUCAUAAAAAAAGGAAUACAGCAGUGAACAUUGUGUUAUAAUCUUAAUCUCAAUAAAAAAAAAGAAAUAUAUCAACGAACAAAAACAAUUAAGUGACAUAAAGGCAAACCUCAUACGCAAAAAUGUAAUCAAGAAUACUAGAAAUGUUAACAAGACACCAUGAACAUUUAGCAACACAAAAUGCAGGCUAUAAUCGUGUUCAAUAGUUAUCAAAGGUAGCAGGAUUAUAAUUUAGUACGCCAGACGCGCGUUUCGUCUACAUAAGACUCAUCAGCAAAAAUUUGUAUAAGUCGUCGUCUGACAGUUUUGAUGAAAAUAGUCAUCAAUUAAAUCUCCUCAUUCUAAAAUAGAAAAUGUACUGUCAUAUUUUCUCUAUCUGUAGUGUUUUUCAUUGAAUUUAACCCAUAUGUUCUAUUUUAGCUAUGUCGCCCAUGUUUCGAAAAAUAAAAUAUUUUAUCUAAAAUAUUGAGAAGGCAAAACAUGUAUUGUGGUUUUCUAGUAUGUCCAGUCUGGGUGCAAACAAAUAUUAUUCCUAGAAAUGUGCAGUGCUCUAGAUUUUUUUUCACUUAUUCAUAAUUUCCAAGGGAUAGAGAUGGUAGAAAAAUCAUUUUAUUGUGGCAUUCCAGCAUGUCCAGUAUGGUGUUAAAAAACUUACACUUAGAAUGCAAUACUAAUGAUUUAUUUGAUUAACUAUGAAUACUAUAAAUAAAGGCAACAGUGGUAUACUGCUGUUCAAAACCAU